Molecule: ribosomal RNA, 1016 nt
Filed under: Salmonella enterica
Lineage: Bacteria; Pseudomonadati; Pseudomonadota; Gammaproteobacteria; Enterobacterales; Enterobacteriaceae
Also listed under: 2 other names
Description: partial 23S ribosomal RNA
Rfam family: Bacterial large subunit ribosomal RNA
Source: RNAcentral
CCCCGGUAAACGGCGGCCGUAACUAUAACGGUCCUAAGGUAGCGAAAUUCCUUGUCGGGUAAGUUCCGACCUGCACGAAUGGCGUAAUGAUGGCCAGGCUGUCUCCACCCGAGACUCAGUGAAAUUGAACUCGCUGUGAAGAUGCAGUGUACCCGCGGCAAGACGGAAAGACCCCGUGAACCUUUACUAUAGCUUGACACUGAACAUUGAGCCUUGAUGUGUAGGAUAGGUGGGAGGCUUUGAAGUGUGGACGCCAGUCUGCAUGGAGCCGGCCUUGAAAUACCACCCUUUAAUGUUUGAUGUUCUAACGUGGACCCGUGAUCCGGGUUGCGGACAGUGUCUGGUGGGUAGUUUGACUGGGGCGGUCUCCUCCUAAAGAGUAACGGAGGAGCACGAAGGUUGGCUAAUCCUGGUCGGACAUCAGGAGGUUAGUGCAAUGGCAUAAGCCAGCUUGACUGCGAGCGUGACGGCGCGAGCAGGUGCGAAAGCAGGUCAUAGUGAUCCGGUGGUUCUGAAUGGAAGGGCCAUCGCUCAACGGAUAAAAGGUACUCCGGGGAUAACAGGCUGAUACCGCCCAAGAGUUCAUAUCGACGGCGGUGUUUGGCACCUCGAUGUCGGCUCAUCACAUCCUGGGGCUGAAGUAGGUCCCAAGGGUAUGGCUGUUCGCCAUUUAAAGUGGUACGCGAGCUGGGUUUAGAACGUCGUGAGACAGUUCGGUCCCUAUCUGCCGUGGGCGCUGGAGAACUGAGGGGGGCUGCUCCUAGUACGAGAGGACCGGAGUGGACGCAUCACUGGUGUUCGGGUUGUCAUGCCAAUGGCACUGCCCGGUAGCUAAAUGCGGAAGAGAUAAGUGCUGAAAGCAUCUAAGCACGAAACUUGCCCCGAGAUGAGUUCUCCCUGAGACUUAGAGUCUCCUGAAGGAACGUUGAAGACGACGACGUUGAUAGGCCGGGUGUGUAAGCGCAGCGAUGCGUUGAGCUAACCGGUACUAAUGAACCGUGAGGCUUAACCUUACA